Molecule: long non-coding RNA, 677 nt
Filed under: Gadus morhua (Atlantic cod)
Lineage: Eukaryota; Metazoa; Chordata; Actinopteri; Gadiformes; Gadidae
Description: lncRNA (ENSGMOG00000022799.1)
Source: RNAcentral
AUGAUUACCCGAACAUCAUCUUACAAGAACACAACAACCUUUAAGGCCUUGAUUGGGAUUGCCCCUUGUAGUGUUGUGACUUUUGUGUCAAGUCUCUUUACCGGCUCCAUCUCCGACCCAGAGCUGACUGAACGAAGUGGACUGCUGGAUUUACUGGAGCCAGGAGAUGGCUGCAUGGCAGACAAGGGUUUCACCAUCGAGAAGCCACUAGCUGAUCGUGGGGCAACGCUGAUUAUACCACCCUUCAAGAUGACAGUUCAAUGAAGAGGAUGCUCUGAAAACACAAGCAAUCGCUCGACUUCGAAUCCUCGUAGAAAGAGCAAUAGGCAGAGUCAAGGAAUACCGCAUCUGGGAACGCACUGUCCUUUCACCUUGUCUGCGACAGUCAAUCAGCUGUGGACCGUCUGCUGUGUGAUGACCAACUUCCAGGGACCACUUGAUUUAAAAGGCUACAUCCCUGUUGAAUAGUGUUUCUACUCAAACAUGUACCUAUAAAUAUUAAAUAUAAUAUAUAAAUAUUAAAACGAGAGGCACUGAACAUUUGGAGUGGUCCCUUCAUUUUUUCCGGAGCUGUAAUUUUGUACACUGAAAACAUUGUAUAUAUUGAAUGACAUGUAAUGUAAUUGAAUGAGAAGUCUUUCAUCUAUAAUCAAUUUUAAAGUCCAGUCAGUCCAUCC